AUGAUGCUUGUGAUGACCUUGAUAUUGGCAAUUUUGUGUCUUACAAGGCUUUGUCACCUUCAUAAGGCGUUUGUUGCCUCUCUGCAAACUGUGUCUAUCCCUAAGGAUUGGAAGGCUGCAAAGCAAGAUCCGAAGUGGCGUGAAUCGAUGAUAGAGGAGUUAGAAGCAUUGAAAAAAAACAAGACAUGGGUGCUAACCACAUUGCCGGCAGGAAAGAAAGCAGUGAGUUGCAAGUGGAUUUUUACUGUGAAGCAGAAUCCUGAGGGCAAGGUGGAACGGUAUAAGGCUAGAUUGGUCGCCAGAGGAUAUAGUCAAACUUAUGGAAUUGACUAUGAUGAGACAUUUGCUCCGGUUGCAAAGAUGAACACAGUACGGGUAUUGGUCUCGUGUGCUGCAAACUUUGGGUGGAAAUUGCACCAGUUAGAUGUCAAGAAUGCCUUCUUACAUGGUGACUUGAAAGAAGAGGUAUACAUGGAGAUACCGCCUGGUUUUGGCACAGAACAGACUACAGGGAAGGUAUGCAGGCUGAAGAAAUCCUUGUAUGGUCUGAAGCAAUCGCCGAGGGCAUGGUUUGAUAGGUUUAGACGAGCUGUUUGGAAUAUGGGGUAUGGCCAAUGUAAUGGUGAUCACACGGUGUUUUAUAGACACAUUGAUAAGAAGAUCACCAUUGUUGCAGUGUAUGUUGAUGAUAUCAUCAUCACCGGAGAUGAGGAGGAGGAAAUAAAGAGAGUGAAGGGGUGUCUGAGCAAGGAGUUUGAGGUAAAAGACUUGGGAAAUCUCAAGUACUUCCUUGGCAUAGAAGUGGCUCGGACAGAGAAGGGAAUAUCUUUGUGCCAACGAAAAUACACCUUGGAUCUUUUGAGUGACAUGGGCAUGAUGGGAUGUCGUGCAGCCCCUACUCCGAUUGAACAAAAUCAUCAAAUAACAGCACAAUCAGGUGAGCUAGUGAAUAAGGAAGAUUAUCAGAAGCUGGUUGGAAGGUUAUUGUACUUGUGUCAUACCAGGCCUGACAUUACGUAUGCCGUGGGGGUGGUGAGCAGAUACAUGCAUGAACCAAGGAGUGGGCAUCUUAAUAUUGUUCACAGAAUCCUGAGAUACUUGAAGGGGACUCCGGGUAAAGGGUUGUGGUCUGCGAAGAGUGGACAUCUUGAGGUGGAUGGCUAUAGUGACUCUGAUUGGGCUAGCUGUCAAGAUGAUAGACGAUCAACUUCAGGCUACUGUGUGUUUGUGGGAGGAAAUUUGGUGUCAUGGAGAAGCAAGAAACAGACUGUUGUGUCUAGAUCAACAGCAGAAGCUGAAUAUAGAGCAUUAUCUCAAGGGUUGUGUGAUAUGCUCUGGGUGAAGCACCUACUAUGCGAGUUGAAACUUUUGAGGAAGGGACCCUUAAGAGUGUGGUGUGACAAUCAGUCAGCUAUAGCCAUUGCUAAUAACCCAGUUCAACAUGAUAGGACGAAGCAUGUGGAAAUUGAUCGCUUCUUCAUUAAAGAGAAACUAGAUGCUGGGAUCAUCAGCCUUACUCAUGUCAGCUCUAGGCAGCAGUUUGCAGAUUGCUUGACAAAGGGACUGGGAACAAAGGACUGUAACUUGGCGUGUGACAAGAUGGGGAUGAUAGAUAUCUACCACCCAUUUUGA
RNAcentral lists this ribosomal RNA (1632 nucleotides) under Triticum aestivum (bread wheat). RNAcentral describes it as "partial small subunit ribosomal RNA". Lineage: Eukaryota; Viridiplantae; Streptophyta; Magnoliopsida; Poales; Poaceae. The record is from RNAcentral.